GUUAAGCGACUAAGCGUACACGGUGGAUGCCCUGGCAGUCAGAGGCGAUGAAGGACGUGCUAAUCUGCGAUAAGCGUCGGUAAGGUGAUAUGAACCGUUAUAACCGGCGAUUUCCGAAUGGGGAAACCCAGUGUGAUUCGUCACACUAUCAUUAACUGAAUCCAUAGGUUAAUGAGGCGAACCGGGGGAACUGAAACAUCUAAGUACCCCGAGGAAAAGAAAUCAACCGAGAUUCCCCCAGUAGCGGCGAGCGAACGGGGAGCAGCCCAGAGCCUGAAUCAGUGUGUGUGUUAGUGGAAGCGUCUGGAAAGGCGCGCGAUACAGGGUGACAGCCCCGUACACAAAAAUGCACAUGCUGUGAGCUCGAUGAGUAGGGCGGGACACGUGGUAUCCUGUCUGAAUAUGGGGGGACCAUCCUCCAAGGCUAAAUACUCCUGACUGACCGAUAGUGAACCAGUACCGUGAGGGAAAGGCGAAAAGAACCCCGGCGAGGGGAGUGAAAAAGAACCUGAAACCGUGUACGUACAAGCAGUGGGAGCACGCUUAGGCGUGUGACUGCGUACCUUUUGUAUAAUGGGUCAGCGACUUAUAUUCUGUAGCAAGGUUAACCGAAUAGGGGAGCCGAAGGGAAACCGAGUCUUAACUGGGCGUUAAGUUGCAGGGUAUAGACCCGAAACCCGGUGAUCUAGCCAUGGGCAGGUUGAAGGUUGGGUAACACUAACUGGAGGACCGAACCGACUAAUGUUGAAAAAUUAGCGGAUGACUUGUGGCUGGGGGUGAAAGGCCAAUCAAACCGGGAGAUAGCUGGUUCUCCCCGAAAGCUAUUUAGGUAGCGCCUCGUGAAUUCAUCUCCGGGGGUAGAGCACUGUUUCGGCAAGGGGGUCAUCCCGACUUACCAACCCGAUGCAAACUGCGAAUACCGGAGAAUGUUAUCACGGGAGACACACGGCGGGUGCUAACGUCCGUCGUGAAGAGGGAAACAACCCAGACCGCCAGCUAAGGUCCCAAAGUCAUGGUUAAGUGGGAAACGAUGUGGGAAGGCCCAGACAGCCAGGAUGUUGGCUUAGAAGCAGCCAUCAUUUAAAGAAAGCGUAAUAGCUCACUGGUCGAGUCGGCCUGCGCGGAAGAUGUAACGGGGCUAAACCAUGCACCGAAGCUGCGGCAGCGACGCUUAUGCGUUGUUGGGUA
RNAcentral lists this ribosomal RNA (1188 nucleotides) under Escherichia coli. RNAcentral describes it as "partial 23S ribosomal RNA". It matches the Rfam family "Bacterial large subunit ribosomal RNA", at positions 1 to 1230 of the family's 2925-position model. The record is from RNAcentral. Lineage: Bacteria; Pseudomonadati; Pseudomonadota; Gammaproteobacteria; Enterobacterales; Enterobacteriaceae.